This 74-nucleotide transfer RNA is filed under the name Camelus bactrianus (Bactrian camel). It matches the Rfam family "tRNA". From Rfam's summary of the family: Transfer RNA (tRNA) molecules are approximately 80 nucleotides in length. Their secondary structure includes four short double-helical elements and three loops (D, anti-codon, and T loops). The record is from Rfam by way of RNAcentral. RNAcentral also lists the same sequence under 1 other name. Lineage: Eukaryota; Metazoa; Chordata; Mammalia; Artiodactyla; Camelidae.
GAGGGUACAGCUCAAGUGGUAGAGCGCGUGCUUGGCAUGCACGAGGCUCCUGGGUUCAAUGCCCAGUGCCUCCA